GGAGUAGUACUCAAGUGGCUGAAGAGGCGCCCCUGCUAAGGGCGUAGGUCGGGUUUCCCGGCGCGAGGGUUCGAAUCUCUCCUACUCCG
Molecule: non-coding RNA, 89 nt
Organism: Lactobacillus amylolyticus DSM 11664
Lineage: Bacteria; Bacillati; Bacillota; Bacilli; Lactobacillales; Lactobacillaceae
Source: Rfam